Molecule: ribosomal RNA, 579 nt
Filed under: uncultured Achromobacter sp.
Lineage: Bacteria; Pseudomonadati; Pseudomonadota; Betaproteobacteria; Burkholderiales; Alcaligenaceae
Description: bacterial SSU rRNA
Rfam family: Bacterial small subunit ribosomal RNA
Source: RNAcentral
CCUACGGGAGGCAGCAGUGGGGAAUUUUGGACAAUGGGGGAAACCCUGAUCCAGCCAUCCCGCGUGUGCGAUGAAGGCCUUCGGGUUGUAAAGCACUUUUGGCAGGAAAGAAACGUCAUGGGUUAAUACCCCGUGAAACUGACGGUACCUGCAGAAUAAGCACCGGCUAACUACGUGCCAGCAGCCGCGGUAAUACGUAGGGUGCAAGCGUUAAUCGGAAUUACUGGGCGUAAAGCGUGCGCAGGCGGUUCGGAAAGAAAGAUGUGAAAUCCCAGAGCUUAACUUUGGAACUGCAUUUUUAACUACCGGGCUAGAGUGUGUCAGAGGGAGGUGGAAUUCCGCGUGUAGCAGUGAAAUGCGUAGAUAUGCGGAGGAACACCGAUGGCGAAGGCAGCCUCCUGGGAUAACACUGACGCUCAUGCACGAAAGCGUGGGGAGCAAACAGGAUUAGAUACCCUGGUAGUCCACGCCCUAAACGAUGUCAACUAGCUGUUGGGGCCUUCGGGCCUUGGUAGCGCAGCUAACGCGUGAAGUUGACCGUCUGGGGAGUACGGUCGCAAGAUUAAAACUCAAAGGAAU